UUUUUUUUUUUUGUAAUGGUUCUCGCCCUAGUGCUUAGCACGGGUUGGACGUAUGAAGGAUUGAGAACCUUUGUAUAUUCGAUCUUUAUACUCCAUUUUGGGAUGGCAAUGUAUAUAAGUUCCGUUUUAAGUUUGGAUCGCUGUCCUAUUUAUUCUUGUGAUUUAUUCCGAUUUUAAUUGAGGACUGAAGUGAACGACUGAGUUCCGGCGAGAGUUGGGCAGGCGACCCGCCGAACCCUGGGGUACACCCUAGGGAGAGGUGGGGCCGUCACAGUAUGUGACUAUAUAUAUAAGGAGAGUGUUUUAUUUUAAAUGUGCUCUAUUAUUUUCACUUUUUGCUUUGAAAUUGCUUUUACUGAACUUCAUAGCUACUUUAUUUUACUUAUACCUAUAUAGUCUUUUUUUUUUCAAAAGAGGCAUGGAGGGUAGUACGUGUUUAGAGAUUUAAUUGUAGUUAUGAGAGGAAAUGUACUUUGGAGAUGAUUUGCUAAUGCCUAGUAUUUUAUUUCACGAUUUAGCAAGAGUAGUAACCAAGUUUCAUAGUUACGAAUUUUCUUUUUCCUCAAGUUCUUAAAUUUAUAUCACUUUGCACAAUUUGACACCUUCAUUGAAUUUUUUAGUAUAUCAAUUUAGCCAUUACGUCGGCAAGAUUUUUCCUCUAGGUAAAUUUGUUGCAGUACUAUGAGUAAGAGAAAGCCACUUAGGAAUUGGAGGAAAAUACUCUAACAUCCAGUUUUGUACGAGCAAAGGUUAGAAUUUCGAGGACGCAAUUCUAUUAAGGAGGAGAGAGUGUGAUACCCCAAAAUUUUACUUGUAUUUAUAGUUCUUAUUUGAACUUACUUGCCUUAGAUUCUUGGUUGUUUUGAUGGUUGAAUUUGAGUCAAGGGAGUGAAUUUUGUUAAGAAAAGAUUCAUAAUCUCAAGUUGUUAGAAAAUCUAGAAAUUUUCGUAGAAGGCUCUACGCAGUUUUGGAAAAUUGGCUAUAACUUCGUAUAGGAAAGUCGGAAUUGAGUUCCGUUUGUUGAAUUUGAAACUAGACUCAUAGAGCUUCCUAUAGUAAAAAAUUUAGAGUUUGAUUCAAUGUCUAUAAAUUUCAGAAAAUUGGCAAAGUUGACUGAAAAUUCUGCCAUGCACAAGUAAACAUAGGAAUGUUGUAGUAGCUUAUGGCUCAAUUUGGACCAACUUAUGAGCUGAAAUUCUUUAAUCCAGAUCUAGACCCAUUUAAUUUAGUUAGACCCAGACCCAGAUCCAGAUCCUUUUGGAUCUGAAAAAGUAAGUCCAUACCCAAUCCUUAUGGAUCUGCGUAUUCAAUGGAUAUUCAUGGGUAUUUUUUGAACAUACUGAAGUAAAAAUAUAUUUAAAAUAUAUAGAGUUCAUAAAUAAUAUAAAUACCAUCCAAUUUUUGUUUUCAAAUAAUAAAAUUAACAUUCAACAAGUUGAAUGCAAUAUUGUGAAUUCAAAGAAAGAAUUAUUACUGACUACUUCUAUAUAUUUUCAAAAAUUCAACUGCAUCCACAUCCAAUAUUUCAUUUGUUUGCCUUUACCUAUUCUCCUUUUCUUGAAAAGUUUGUAUCAAUUACAAUGACAACUAGGACUAGCUUUUAAAAAAAGAAAACAACCAUAACAUAUAUAAAUAUUUAGUCUUAUUAAAAAAAUGUAAUUUUGUACCUCUUUUUCUUAUUAAACUUCAAUAUUGAUAGAUGUCUUGCAAUCCAACACUAAAAUAGUGAAUGAGAUAAAAGUCAUUUGACUAACGAAUGAUGGCAAAUAAAUAAUAGAAUAAAAAAAAUUUAUAAACACUUACUCAUUAUUUUUUUAUUCAAUCCAAUCAUCAGUAAUCACUAAUGUUUCAACCAUAUUUAGAAGCAAUUUGGCACGAGUCUCAUUAAUCACCCAAUCACCAAUACUAAAUGCAGAUUCUAAUGUUAUAAAAUCUUACUGAAUUUGAUCCAAUAGUCAUAAAAUAUUAUAUUAUUUUAUAAAUUUACUAAUAUAUAUAUUAUUUAAUUAAAUAAAUAUGGGUCUGAGUAAGGUCUGGUAUGAAUCUGGAUUUAGAUAUGAAUUCUAAAAAACCAGACCCUACCCAGACCCACGACUCUCUCACAGGAUCUAGGUCUGGGUAGGAUCUGGAUUUGAGAAAUUAAAUCCAAACUCUACCCAAAUAUAUUGAGUUUGGGUUGGAUCUGGAUAAGACCCGACCCAUUGACAUGCAUACCCAUGGUUAAGAUUGAAACUUAUCAAACGUCUUGACCCUCUUAGUGCUUUUAUAACAGUUAGAAUGAAUAUCCAGAAUUGCAAACAAAAUUUAAAGGUCUUUAAACCCAUUAGGCUAUUGUAUUAACAUUAAACUAUAUUCAAUCGAUCUGUUGUGAAAAUUGAAUGAAGCUCCGGUCAUUGAUACAUGUGUGUGCGUGUUUGUAUGGUCUGAUUGAUACUAAUCUGAAUUGCAACCAAGUAUUCGUGUAGGUAUGUGCAUGCUUCAAUUAUGAAAUGAAAAUUUUUUAUUCUACUGUUACAAUCAGUCCAUCAGUCCACCUAUUGAUGGUGUCCAUGGAUAAGAGUGCUAUUGAUUAUAGACGUUAUAGUGUCCAAAUUUGUUUGAUUAUUUGAACGAAUUUAAAAUUUUGUGAUAAUGCGUGAUUUUUUUUUAUAAUAAAACAUAUUUCAUUCAAGAAUUACUGGAAAUCGUCCAACACAAUUGAGAUACAUUGCUGCCUUGGUGGUUGAUAAACAUGCACUAAACUUAUAGAUCUGCAAUUUAACAAAUACAUAAGAUUUGAGAAAUUAAGGACAGAUCUAAAAAGUACCAUAAAUUUGAAAAACAUUUCAUCAUAGAAUAAGUCGCAGGCUCUCUUUGUGCAUGUUGUAAUCGUCAAAUCUGCUAAUCAACAGUUGUAAGGUCCAAUAAAGAUGGUGAGAUCUGCCGAGAUUGAUCCAAAUCUGAAAUAUUCCCUCAGAUCUGCUAUCCAACUGAUUCAAGCUCAAUACUGAAAUUGAGAUCUGAUGAGAAGACUGAAGAAAUUGUAGAUCUAACAUAUAGAUCUAAAAAAACUCCAAGAUCUGAAAAAGUAAAGAAACAAAACUAAAUAAAACUCUCACUAAGAUAGUUUAGGAGAGACUAAAACUCUCAAUAGGACACCUUAGGAGAGAAGAAAACUCUCACUAGGAAAACCCAGGAGAGAUUUUAUUGAAUGAAAGGAAAAGCAAAGGACAAAGGAAGAGGAAGGGAGACCUUGGCUUAAGGCCAAGAUCUCCCUCCUAUGGAGGAGGAAGGGUAGAGGAGGAAGUCUAGAGAGGGUGUAAUUUUGAGAGAGAUACCUACUCUAGAGAGAAAAGGCAAGAGUACGUACGGUAGGUCUGUUCGAUAAUGCGUGAUUUUGUACUUAUAGUUUUGAGAGCUGAACUCAUUUACAUGCAGACUGAUCAAAAUAUUCAUUUUGCUUAUCCAAAUCAGACGAUGCAAGAAUUGGAAUUUUUGGGCUAUCAAAUAUCUUACAGGGGAAAAUUUAAGAGAAUCGAAGAACAAUUUUUCUCUUAUUUCGGCAGCGUUUCUUGAUCUUGAGCAAAUGAAUUUGACUGUCGUUUAGAUAUAUAAUCCAAAAAUUUAACAAUCGAUUCACAGAUCCGCAUAUAUAACACAAAAAAUUCUAUUUUCACUUUCUCCCCAACCAAAACGUGCUAGUAUGUCAAAAUCCCAGGGGGCAUCUGCAUACGACAUGCAUAUUCCUAGUAGUGCGUCAUGGAUCAUAAAGAAACAAUUCAAUAUGGUAAUACUGGCAAGGCACCCAAAGAGAUUAAACAACUAAAAUACGACUACAAAACUUGGAAUACUGUGAUUACUAAUGAGCUGUCCCGAACUACAGCACAACUUGAUACAGCUUAAAAAAGCCAAUUUAGACUGAUGUUUCCAAGCCAAAUGAGAAGUGGAAACUGAGCCAUGGCAAUGAAGAGCAGGAGGUAAUGAUGCCGGCUUGAAUCAUAACUCCUCACCUCUGCGAAAAGAACUCUCUUCAUUGUCUUCACCAAGAAAAUUCCCAUGCAUAAAGAUAUCCAGGGUAUCAGAGCGUAGUAUGAAUAACUCCAAAUAAGUUUUCCCACAACGGCCAGAGACAAUCCCGUGAAUGUAUAUCUGGCAUAUGCCACAAUGUCAAGUAAAGGAGCCUCCCCGCCACUCAGCGAAAACAAUGACAUUUUCAGUAGAGCAACUUGCAAAAACCAUCCUACCAAUCCCUUGGCAAACAACCAAUUUAGAGCUUCCGGCCUAAACCUGCAAAGAAACAUCAAUUUUCUCAACAAAAGAACCAAAUAAAAAGAAAUUGGAAAAAAGUCAAGUCAGCAAGGAAGAGAAAAUGAGAAUCAGAAAAAAGACAGACUACUUAGGAUGCUUCCCAAUACCUAACCCAAUCUAAAAUUUGUGAAGCUAAUUUACCAAAAGCAAGUGUCUUGUAAGAAUUAUUAGUAUUUGAAAUCUAGUUUUUAACAGGCCAAAUUGUAUGAAUGUUUGACAAUUAUAACUCAAGUAAUGAUUUUUCUAAAGGAAUGGCAUAAGUUAGGGUUUUUGGUGUGUUUUUUGGUGCAUUUUGGUAGUGUGAUUAAUUGGUAAGGUGUGUGUACUAAAUUUGGUGGUUAAUAAUGAGUUUUAUAUAAGAGAAAGUGUGCGAUUAGAAGUUCUAAUAAUAAAUUAGCGAAUCAUAAGUUAAAACACUAGUACACGCGAGUUAAGAAAAAUCGGCUUGUACUGACGCGCACCGUUUGCUACCGAUUGAAUAUACCACUUGAACACUACUUUAUUAGCUUAAUCUCUUUGUUAUUAAUUGAGAAAAAUCAGCCCUAAAUAUCUUCUCAAUGCAGCCGAAAAUUUGGACUAAAAAAACAAGUGAGAAAAGAAAAUUUUGACCUCCAAUCAAAGUGUGACACUUGUUAAACUUUGACCAAACCAAUUUCCUAUCUUCUUAUCUCUCAUUUUGGCCACUUUUUCUUCAUUCUUUCUUCAUCAUGGCCGAACCUCUUGAGGGAAAAACAAAGAAAGAAAACUUCCAUGGCUACCAUGAUUCUUACCUUGUUUGAGUGAAGAUCAACAAGAACAACAAAACUAAACCGAACAAAGUGGCAAUAAGGUAGCAAGGAAGCUUGUAGUGGAGUUUCUUUGGAGAGGAAAGGCUUGGUUUUUAACUUUUUCUUGGAGGAUUGAAGGUAAAAAGAUGGAAAAUUAUCUUUCUCUUUCUAUUCUUGAAAUUUAUUAGGAAGAUGACUUGAAAUUGGAAGUUUAUGAAAGAUAUUCAUGAAUUUGUGAAGAUUGGUGAAAUUUCCAGUUUAGGGUUUCAUUUUCCAGCCUUGAUUUGUGUUUUUUAGCUAUGAUAUGAUGGUAUCUAACUUUGUUAAGGACUUGUGUGAAGAUUUAUAGCUUUAUUCUGACUUUUUAGAUUUCAACUAAGAAUUUCCAGCUUUAGCUAUAAAAUUGCAGCUUUGUCAAGCAAUUUCCAGCAAGUGUAGUGAUUUUGUCCUGUUUUAGAAUCAAACUGACCUGCAUAUUCAUCCAUGAUAAAGGCCAAAUCAGGUUUUGCUCAAAACAUGAAAGUUGUAGGGAAUGGAGUUAAAUAUCUUAAUGUAAAAUUUCAGUUGAAUCGGAUUACUGUACCUUGUGAAACGACUAAAAUACCCCUGACUGCCCAAAAGCCCUAUUUCAUAGGCAGCUUUCUGUUUUCUCGGAGAUUGCACAUUUUGACCUUGAAAAUGCAAGAAUUGGAUGUCAAUGUCUUCAUAGGAAAUGUAUGUAUCUGUCUUAGUUUCGAAACUCCGAAAAAUUUAUCCCAAUCGGAUAAGCGUAGCUUCAGCUAUGGCCAAAACUCUGGAAGAUGUCAAACCUGUUACUUAGUCAUUCGUCUUUAAAAUUGAUUUCCAGCUUUGAUUUUGAUGGUUACAUUGCUAGAAUUGCCUUGUGUUUGGAUGAAAUUGAGUCUAUUUGAAAGGCUAUUAUGUUAAUUUUGCUUAUGUGUGAAUUUAGGCUGAGUUGAGGAAAAUAAUGAAGCCAUAAAUGGCUGAAAAAUAGCUAAAUACAAAGGGCAUGCCGCCCAAAUUUUCACUCGCAACUGAGCAAAGAUUUGAGGACGAUUUGAACUUGAUUUGUCUAAGGUAUUCGAGUCUUCUUUUGUAGAGGUAUAUAAGUUGGAAUUUGGCCGAAACUCGUACCCUUGGAAAAAUGAAAGUAGCGACAAAUAGAAAUACGUUUUUCUCAUCUUUUCGACUCAAAUGGGAAUUCCAAAGUUUUAAUCGUUUUAUUGCCAAAACCAAAAGAGCAAGCAUGAAUUUUCUAGAGUUUGAUAAGUAACAUGAACCCUAUCUAAAUGAGUUUCAUUUACUUGAUCUUCUUGAAACAAAACUCUUAAGUUUCGAACCCUAGUUGAUUUCAAGAUUUUAAAUGAUAUUGUAUCGUAGAUUUGGACUCCAACCAAAGAGUUACACAUGAGCGUGAUUUUUGACAAGCACUAAAUCUUUGGUGAGUGCUUCUAAAUACGUGAUUGAACUUGAUACUUGAUUAAAUUUUUUACCAACGUGAUCAGAUAAGAUUUGCUUGAUUUGGUCGGGCAAGUGUGUACUUUAUCGCACUUGACCUAACUCAACUAAUCACUUGAUAUUUCAUUCAUGCUUGCACAAGUGACUUGAUUUGUAUUGACCUGUACUUGUAUUUGUACUUUUGCCUGAUUUGUAAAUGCUGAGCUGCAGUAUGCACCACACUCGAUACGAGUGGGAGGUACUUCUCAUUCCCGUCUCCGUACUUUUAUCUUGAUUCAGUCGAUUGGAGAUGUUAUCUCAUCGACUUCUUGGGAACCCAAACCCCACUGGCUAGUUAAUCUAGUCGAGUCGGUAAAGGUUUGGUCGAUUAGAUAACGAACCAUGGGUAUCUAGUGUUGUCGAGUGGAGUGUUAUCUACUCGACUAAUUGGUAUAUUCGAGAAUUACCACCAGGGUUUAGUUGGUGUUCGGGACUGGCAAAGGGCUUGAAUGGUGGAAGGAUUGGUGUGAAGCGAAGCACUACUGGAUUGGUUACUUUACUUGAAAGUUGAUGGAGUAUCAACUAAUACUGGAUCAAGCUCUGGCCAAGCAACGGGAAUUUGACUCCGAGAACCAUCUGUAUCCUUAUACUUUGAUUGUUAAUAGUAGUGUUAUUAUUUCUUUUAGAAAAAGAAUUUUACACUCGCUUAUUUUGAGAUUUGCUACUUGAAGUGUUAUUACUCACUUUUAUGAACUUGUUAUGCUCGCUACUUUGCUAAUUUGAUACAUGCACUUUUAAAUAAUGGUCAACUUGCUAUUUGAAACCUCAUUGAACUUUAGCGCACCCUAUUUCAUUAAAUUUGUUUUCCUUACAGGGGAUACGAGUGAGGGCGUGAGACUGGUACAGGCUAGCAUAGUCUAGCUUUUGGAAAUUUUGCGAUUGUACUCGCGCGAGUUCUCGGUUAGGGUUGAAUGUAUCUGGAAUUCAUAUCUUUUGUUAUGAUUGGGAUUGUACGAAUGUUUGGAAUAGAAAUGAAUUUACAUGUACGUUCCAAGUUUGAGAACUGUUAUUUCCUUUACUCUUGCGGUUAUAACCUAUUUUAUUUCGAGUGAGUGAGUCUUGACGAGAAUUGGGCAGACGGUCGGCUAAAACCUGGGGUAGGCCCUAGGGGGAGGUGGGGUCGUCGCAGAUGGAAUCAGAGCUCUUAUUGAACUCAUGUCGGGAGAGGGUUCUCGGACUGUGGGGAUUGGCUUGUUAAGUGUGGAAGAAAUGUCUAUUGUUGGGGAUACUAGAUAUGUAUGUUGGAUAGGACUCUCAAUAGUGGUCGAUUUCCUCUUGAGCCUGGCCAGCUCGAGUGAUGAAUUAUCAUAUUUUCGGAUUCUUGUACCCAAAUACCAAAGAGUGAUACAUUUAUGAUAAGUCUAGAUGGCGAAAGCCAAGCAUGGGGAAUACGAAUAGUCUGGACUUGGGAGAUAUUGAAGAUAUUCAUGAGAUUUGGGACUCUUAUUAUUCAAGUAUACAUAUCUAGUUGUACCUCUUCAAAUUUUGAUUAAGUGUAGUGACUGAGCAAUACCUAGGAUUAAUGUACCAUAGGGUACGUGACUAUAUAUAUAAGGGAGUGUUUUAUUUUAAAUGUGUUCUAUUAUUUUUACUUUAUGAUUUGAAAUUGCUUUUACCGAGUUUCAUAGCUACUUUAUUAUACUUAUACCUAUAUAGUCUAUUUUUUUUUCUUUUUCAAAAGAGACAUGGAGGGUAGUACGUGUUUAGAUAUUUAAUUAUAGUCAUGAGAGGAAAUGUACUUUGGAGAUGAUUUGCUAAUGCCUAGAAUUUUAUUUCACGAUUUAGCAAGAGUAGUAACCAAGUUUCAUAGUUACAAAUUUUUCUUUUCCUCAAGUUCUUAAAUUUAUAUCACUUUGCACAAUUUGACGCCUUCAUUGAACUUUCUUAGUAUAUCAACUUAGCCAUUACGUCGGCAAGAUUUUUCCUUUAGGUAAAUUUUUAGCAGUACGAUGAGUAAGAGAAAGCCACUUAGGAAUUGAAGAAAAAUACUAUAACAUCCAGUUUUGUGCAAGCAAAGGUUAUAAUUUCGAGGACUAAAUUCUUUUGAGGAGGAGAGAGUGUGAGACCCCAAAAUUUUACUUGUCUUUAUAGCUCUUAUUUGAACUUACUUGCCUUAGAUUCUUGGUUAUUUUAAUUGUUGAAUUUGAGUCAAGGGAGUGAAUUUUGUUAAGAAAAUUUUCAUAAUCUCAAGUUGUUAGAAAAUCUAGAAAUUUUCGCAGAAGGCUCUGCGCAGUUUUGGGAAAUUGGCUAUAAUUUCGUAUAGAAAAGUCGGAAUUGAGUUCCGUUUGUUGCAUUUGAAACUAAACUCAUAGGGUUUCCUACAGUGAAAAUUUUAGAGUUUUAUUCAAUCUCUAUAAAUUCCAAAAAAUUGGCAAAGUUGACUGAAAAUUCUGUCCUGCACACACUACAAGAAAAUUGGUCAUCAGUGACAACUUUUCUCUGUGACGAAAAAAAGUUGUCACAAAAGUGGAUCCUUUAUUAACAACUUUCUCACUCGUCACAAACCUCUAAAGGGAGCCAACUUAUUUGUGAUGACUUUUUUAAGUCGUCACUAGUAAAUUCCCGCCAAGAUUUAGCAAGAGCGCGAGAGUGUUUAGAACACACAAUAGUGACAAUAUUAAGAACAUCAUCACUAUUGCUUGGCCUAUUUACUGACGACUUUUUGUUGUCGUCACUGAUCACUAAAAAAAAAGGUAUUAGUGACAACAUUUUUGUAGUGAUGAUAAUAGGUCGUCACAAAAGGAGUUUCUUUAGUCGCGACACCUAAAGUUGUCACAAUUGCAUCAAAGCAACUAAAUGUUUAGUGACGACCCGUUAUUUUCGUCACAAACUACACCGCAAGAAAUAUGGUCAUUAGUGACAACAUUUUUAGUGACGAAAAAAGUCGUCACAAAACGUGGUUGUUUAGUGACGACAAAGAAAGUUGUCAUAAUUGCUCAAAGCAACUAAGUCUUCAGUGACGACCUUGAAAAAGUUGUCACUAAAAUGAUUUAUAUAGUGAUAACUUCUAAUAUCGUCACUGUCACUCUACCGAUGCAGAUUUAGUGACAAGAAUUAAUCGUCACUGUUUAAAGUACUUAUUUCUAAGUCACUUUCAUUAAUUCUACUGUGCCACCCUAACUUUUGCGAUUUAGCCCCAAAUGUUGUAAAAAAUUCCAUUAUGAUACCUUAACUUUUACAAUUUAGCCCCAUAUAUAAUACACCGAUUUCUUUAAUUCUAUUAUUACUCCCUAACUUUUGUAAUUUAGCCCCAUAUGUAAUUCACUAAUUUCAUUAAUUCUACUAUGGCACUCUAACUUUUGCAAUUUAACACCCAUGUGUAAUACACCAAUUUUAUUAUUUCUAUUAUGGCACCCUAGCUUUUACAAUUUAGCCCCUAUUUUUUUAUUAGGAAAUUGCGAAUGGUAUCUUGAUAAACUAUGCAUAAAUAUUUUAUAAUUUUCUCAAACUUAAGUAAUAAUUUGUUAUAAACUCUAAAGAUAUAUCUUUCAUUACAAUAGUUAUAAGGAGGCAGGUCUUUUUAUCAAUGGAAUAAUAAAUUUAUGCCAGAUUUAUCCUUUAUACUACAUGCCAAGUAGUAUUAGCAAAGGAAUAACAAAGUACUACAAAGUAAUUAACAAAAUAGCCUUCAGGGAGUGUAGUUUAUGGGCAAAUGAGCAUUAUCUAUUCAAAGUACCAACUUUUUAUGGGCAUUUUACUCUCAAACAUAUAAUUUAUGAUAAAUUUAUAAAUGUUUGUAAGUAAAAUUCAAAAAGUGUUACACUGAUUUCUUACAAAACGAAAACUGGUAGGUUAUCUUUUCAAUAUAAAUUAAAAUUUUUUAAAAAAGGAAAUGGCCCAUAAAGUACCAACUCUUUGUGGGUUUCCUCCAUUGCAUGAACAAAUAUUCUGCUCUUUAUGGGCAUUUCACUCUAAAUCAUUUAAUUUAUGUUAAAUACAUAAAUGUUUGUAAGUAAAAUUCAAAAAGUGUUGCACUAAUAUUUUUAUGAGAGGGAAAUUGGUAGGUUUUGUAUUUAACAUAAAUUAAAUAUGUGAAAGCAAAAAAAAAAAGAAAUUACCCAUAAAUCUAUGUCUUGCAAAUCUAUACUAGUAAAAUAGUUUCAAACAAAAUUAAACAUUAAAAUAAACUAUAUUUUAUACACAUUAAAAUAUCUGUAAUUUAUACACAUUUUGCGACUACUACUUUGUGUUUUCUUUGUAAUGAAUUUUUUAACUAUUGUGAACUUAAGUUUUGUCUUGCAAAUCUAUACUAGUAUAAUAGUUUUAAACAAAAUUAAACAUUAAAAUAAAUGUUUGAAAAAAAACAAAAGUACAUUUAUCACUUGCAGUAAUGUACGUAACAAAAUUUUCUCAACCAUUAUCAAUAUUUUCACAAAAGUAUUAAAAACUAGCAAUUGACAAUAUUAAAAACUAGCAAUUUAAUUAGUGACGACUUUUCUUGUCAUUAUAAUCUUGAAUAAAUUAGUGAUAACAUUAUGUCAUCACUAAAUUUUCUUUGAUUUUGACUUAACAAUAAUGUCUUAUUAAUAGCAUUUGAUUAUUUUUAAUGAAAGUUUGUUAUAACCAUAAAAUUUGACUUUCGUUAUUUUCAAUUAAUGAUGUACUUUAGUGCUGCAAUUAUAAAAAAUUGCAGGGCUAAAAUAUUUGCAAAUUAUAAAAGUAUAUUUUCACUUAUAUGUAAUUAACAAAUUUUGCCACCUAUAUUGAUGAAAAUUUGUGUUUUUGUACUAAAAAAUAAAGAAUAAUACUAUAGCAAUAAAAUCUAUGCUUCAAACCAAAUUAAAAAUAAAAAAAAGCAUGAUGAUUGGUCUCAAAUGUUGGGAAAAUGAUUAUUUUUAUUGAAACUAUGUUAUAACGAUAUAAUUUGAGUUUAAUUAUUUUGAAUUGCAUGAUGUUCUUUAGUGCUGCAAUUAUAAGAAAUUAGUAUAAAAUAUUAGCAAAUUAUAAAAGUGCAUUUUCAAUUAUAUGAAAUUAACAAAUUUUGCCACCUAUGUUGAUGAAAAUUUUUAUUUUUUGCUAAAAAAUAAAGAAUAAUACUAUAGCAUUAAAAUCUAUGGUUCAAACCAUAUUACAAAUCCAGAAAAAAACAUGAUUUUUGGUAUCAAAUGGGGGAAAAAUGAGUGAAGUCAAAAUUUUGAUCAAAUCAUAGUGAAAGUGCCGCGCAACAGAAACAAUAUCCAAAGCAAAGCAAAAACCAAAGCAGCGGAACACAUUCUGAAAACAAAAGCAACAGAACACUUGGUCUGAGUUAAAGCAACGGAACACUUGAGCAACACAAACUUUCACCGAGACAAGCUUCUGCACUGAGCACAAAACAGAGCUUCCUAUACAUUUUCCCCAAUUUUUCCAAAUCCCUAAUAUUCUACUACAUUUUCCCCAAUUUUUCCAAAUCCCUACUACAUUUUCUUUUCUCCUUUUUUUUCCAAUCUUUUGCCCCCUCUAUUGAUGUCGAGGAAGCACAGGGGAGCAAGGUGUUGGAGCUGAGAGGAAAAAGACUGAAACAAGAAGGAAAAACUGAGAAGAGAAACCGAGAGAACCGAGAGUAAGGCUGAGAAAUUCUAAGCAAAAGGAAAGGGAAAGCAGUGAGUGAAGGAGAAAACCAUCGCUUUCCAUCAUCGGUUUCCAUCAUCGUUGAAGGGCAACGCUGUCCGCUAAAGAUCUUUCCAAUCCGCUUCCUUUUUGCUGUCCAGGUAUGUUACUUCUUAUCUAUCUGUUUGACGAUGACGAGGUAGCCUUGCCAUACUUAUGAUUUUAAGGUUCUUGGUACAGUCUAUGAUGAACCCAUGAGGUCUUUCGUUGGAUGUUUAUGGUUGCCCUCUUAUGUUUUGACAGGCUAAAAUCAGAAAAAUCACAUAAAUUUCCUGUUUCAACGUUCCAUUCCUUUACUUGUGGUAGUGAUUAAUGGUUUUGUUAGAACCCCUGCAACAAGAUGAAACCUUUUGCUUGUUGCAACUGUUUCUGGUACUUCUUUUUUUUAUCUUUUUUUGCCUUUCGGUCGCUGAGAUAGCGUUUGAUGUGAUGCUGUGUUUGUUGUUUGAUCCAAAGGUUUUAACUUUCUCCAAUCUGGUAAGCCAAAGACUACAUCUUUGGUCCUUAUUUGCAUAACCUGUGUCUGUUAGGGCCUUUGGAGUCCAAUCGAAGGAUGCACUGCGACAAGCUCGAAGUUAUUGGCUUGUUGCAGCAGUCUUUCCUUUCUGGGAUUGCUAAAGUUGUGGUUUCAUUUGAUAAUCUUGUUUUCGUUUGCAACUGGAGUGGGAUACUAUGAACAUAUCAGCUAUCAGGGCUGUGUUUAGAAAGUCAUUAACCUUGAACUAAAGGCACACUGUCAUCUUUUCCCAUUCCCUCGCUGUUAUGCCAGCAAUUCUAGUAGCUGAGAGUUGCUGCAACAAGGACGGUGCUCCUUGUCCUGUUGCAGCAAUGUAGACAGAUUAGAGCCCUAUUCUCUAUUGCAGCAAUAAAAAUUUAUUUCUUUUGAAUUGUUGAAGUUUCUGGAAUGGUUUGAAUUUCCUUUUUGGUUGGUUUGUUGUUUGAUAAUAAUCUCAUAUAUGAGUAUGCUACGAUUUAAAACAGCAAUCAGUAAGCCUACUACCUUCUGUUGUGCUCCUGUUCGUUCACUUGUUUAAGUAACUAUUUUCUUACGUUUCUGUGGAGUUUUGCUUAAGAGCCCGUUUGAGAGAUUUUGACUUGCUUUACCAUGAGGACAAGACUUUCAUUGCUGUUUUCCUUUUCAUAAUGCCGACCAAGUGUGAGUGUUAACUUGUUAAGUGAACUCCCAUAGGUAAAUUCAGAAUUGGUGGAGACCUUUUGAAUGAAUUAGAAUUUGCAAACUUUCACUUUGUUAGCUCUUAUCCUCUUGUAUGUACAACAUGGCAUUUUGAUUAUGAGUUUACGAAAGUUAAUGUCGGUUUGGCUGCUGAAUCUGUUUGGGUUUGAGCUGCAAUUGUUGCUGCAGAAAGAGCUUGCUUUGUGGGAGAAAAGAAAGCUUCGGUCUGCCGGAGCCCAGAAACCUUUAGGAAAUUUUAGGAACCUGAAGUUUUGGAUGCUCCUUUGUUCUUUCUUAAAGCUGUGCUUUGUAUCUUUUGAUGGGGAGUUUUUGAUAAUAGCAUUUUUUGAGGCUAAUGUGACCUGUUUUUGGGUAACUUGUGGUCAAUGUGGACUAUUUUUUGGUAAUAGCUGGUAAUAGCAUUUUUUGGGGCUGAUGUUAUGCAUCAUUGUGGACUAUUUUUUGUUAUAGUUGUGUAGUCCAGAUGGUAAAUAACAAUUUAUGGAUGCUCGCACCAAGAAAAGGAAAAAGAAAGAAAAAAUGUCUUAUGUCUAGGACCCAUAAUAACUCAAUCACAGCAAAUGCUGGAUGAAGACUGUCCUUAUUGAGGAAAUAUUUCACUCGUUUUCUUCUUAUUUUUAUCUUGGAUUUGUGUAUCAAUUUGCUUUCAAAGCAAAUCCAGAUUAAAAAAAAUGGGAUGUUGACUUGUGGAAAAUGUGAACCAAUUAAUGUUGAAUAUUGAUUUGAGUCCCAUUUCGGAUGGUUUUGUUCCUAUCCAUUUAUUAUCAUCACUUUUUUUUUGGAAUAAAGCAAAGUGGUCAUAUUGUGAAGCUCACAUUAUAGUAUUAUACUUAACAAAUUUGAAAAUUAGAUAACCUUCAUGUAUUUGUGACAUGUUUGACAGUUAGUUUCCUUUUUGUAUUUAUGAACCAAAUGUGUAGUUGUGACAUGUUUGAAUUUACUAAUAGCUGUGUUGUAUUUUGUUUAAUUUUUAUUAUUGUUGUAUGGGAAGAUUAAUUUUCCUGUAUUGAGCUUAAUUUCCUAUAUUUAUACUUAAGUGUUGUCGUUGUAGUAUCAUGGUUGCGUUUUUUUUUGUGUUAGGAUCAACAGUGCUUGUGAAAAAACAUGGAUAGGAGUUAGAUGACAAUUAAAGAUUACUUGCAUCCUAGAUAUUUGGCAGGAGUGAAAGAAUUCGUUGAAUUUGCUUAUUUAGGCAAGGAUCCCACAUAUAAGCUCCCUUGUCCAUGUAAAGGGUGCAACAACUUUGAGGAUCAAACUAUGGAGGUCAUGAAAAGUCAUUUGUGUGGGGGAAUUGUUGAGAGCUAUACUAGGUGGGUAUAUCAUGGUGAAAGGUUUGAAGAUUCUGAUGAGGAUGAAAAUGAUAACAUAGUUUUAGAUGAAGAAAACAGUGAGUCAGAUGAUAUUCAAGAAAUGUUAAAUGACAUUGGUACUGCAAACUUUGGCGAGAAUUGGAGAAAUUCGGGGGAACAUAAUAGGGAUAUACCAAAUAAGCAAGAGGGGGAAGCAAGUAAGUUUCUUAGAUUGUUAUCUGAAGCUGAAAAAAGCCUCUACCCGGGUUGUGAUAAGUACUCAAAACUUUCCUUUGUUGUCCAUAUCCUUCAUUUGAAAACUAUGAAUCGGUGGACUUGCAAAUCCAUCGAUAUGCUACUGAAAUUCCUCAUUCAAGUCUUCCUCAUGGCAUCAAUUCCUAGCUCAUACUAUGAUGCAAAAAAUUUAAUUCAUGAGCUAGGACUCAAGUGUGAAAAAAUACAUGCAUGUGAAAAUGAUUGUGCACUUUAUUGGAAAGAAAAUGAAAGCCUCGAUCACUGCCCAAAUGAAAAAUGUAAAGCACCUCGUUAUAAAUCCCCGGGUUCUAAAAUUCCUAGAAAAGUGCUUCGCUAUUUCCCCUUAAAAUCAAGGUUGCAAAGACUAUUCAUAAACAAAGAGAUAGCUCAAGAUAUGAGGUGGCAUAAAGAGAGACGCGUUCCCAAGGAAAACACAAUGACACACCCUGCUGACUCAAUAGCUUGGAAGGAGUUUGAUAGCAGUCACCCAUCUUUUGCCGAAGAUCCUCGUAAUGUUAGGUUGGGGCUUUCAACUGAUGGUUUCAAUCCCUAUGGAAACAUGAAUAAUGCAUAUAGUAUAUGGCCUGUAAUCCUUGUUCCUUACAAUCUACCACCUUGGAAAUGCUUAAAGGACCCUUUUUUCCUGUUAUCAAUGAUUAUUCCAGGUCCUAAGUGCAUAGGAAAUGAUAUGGAUAUAUUUUUUAGGCCUCUAAUUGAUGAAUUGAAAGAGUUUUUUGACACUGGCUUUGAGACUUAUGAUGCAGCCGUGGGAGAAAAAUUUAUGUUACGGGCUGCUCUAUUGUGGACUAUAAGUGAUUUUCCAGCAUAUGCCUAUUUGUCAGGGUGGAGUACGAAAGGUUAUAAGGCCUGUCCUAUUUGUUUAGAUGAUACAACCAGUGUAUAUCUGAGAAAUGGAUUAAAAUGUUGCUAUAUGGGGCACCGGCGAUUUUUGCCAGCGGACCAUAAAUGGCGCAAAGAAAGAAAGUCAUUUGAUGGCAAGAGUGAUCUUAGACAGCCUGUUAGAACUUUAUCCGGUGAAGAAAUCUUUGAACAACUUCAAGAGUUUGAUCAAAUGGUGUUUGGUAAGGCACCUGAAUUGCUUAAAGAGAAGAAAAGAAAACGCAUGCAAAAUCAGUCAAAUUGGUUGAAGAAAAACAUUUUUUUUGAGCUGCCAUAUUGGAGUACUAACAAAAUUAGACACAACUUGGACAUUAUGCAUAUCGUGAAGAAUGUGUGUGAAAUUUUGUUGGCUACAGUGAUGGGUACGGGACACAAAAAUAGGGACACUUGACAAGCUAGAGAGGAUUUGAAGGAAAUGAGAUUGAGGAAAGAAUUGCAUCUUCAAACUCAAGGGGAUUCAAGGGUGAUGCCCGCUGCAUGCUACACUCUUUCACGCAGCGAAAGACAAAAACUAUGCCAGUUUUUGAGCUCACUCAAGUUCCCCGAUGGAUUUGCCUCAAACAUAUCUCAUUGUGUUAAGCCAAAAGAGUGCCAAAUUUCAGGGAUGAAGAGUCAUGAUUAUCAUGUAUUCUUGCAACGUCUACUUCCAUUAGCAAUUAGAGGCAUGCUGCCAAAGGAUGUUUCCCAAACUUUGGUAGAACUAAGCAAUUUUUUUAGGAAAAUUUGUUCCAGGACUCUUUAUGUAGAUGAGUUAGAUGCACAGGAGAAAAACAUUGUUGUAAUACUCUGCAAACUUGAAAAAAUUUUCCCUCCAAAUUUCUUCGAUGUAAUGGUCCAUUUAAUGGUCCAUUUACCUGCUGAAGCAAAACUUGCUGGCCCAGCACAAUACCGGUGGAUGUUCCCAUUUGAGAGGUAGUGUAAAGGCUAUUUUAAGACUGAAUCUUCUUUUGCUUCAUAGGGUCGUACUGCUGUGACAUCUUAUGGCUGCAUUUUUGUGACACAGAAAAAUGGGUCAAUACAAAGGUUAUGUGCACAACAGAGCUCGACCGGAAGGAUGCAUUGUUGAGCGUUACUUGGAUGAUGAAUGUCUAACAUUCAUUUCUAGGUACUUGCACAAUGUUCCUACAAUAUUUAAUGAACCAGAAAGAAACACCGAACGCUUUGAGGCUGCUGGAAAGUUGUCUAUUUUUUCUGGAAUGGCUCGGCCUUUUGGGGCAGCAACAUUUUGUUGCUUAAGUGAAUCAGAGUUGAUGAAAAUACAUUUAUUCAUCUUGAAAAAUUGUGAAGAAAUUGAUGAUUACAUAAGGUAAUAAAUUUAUUACCUUAUGUAUAUGAGAAGUGUUAUAUGUUUAGUCAAUUAUAGCACUAACCGUAGCACAUAGAUAACUAAUAAUACUAUUGUAUAGGAUGCACAAAGAAUUGCUUCAGCAGCAAAAUGUGUCGAAUGUAGAGCAGAUGCACGAUUUAGAGUUUCCAAAGUGGUUUGAAGAUCGUGUAAGUAUGGAACAAACAACUAGAAAACUUGUGGUAUUUAUAUAGUUGUUAAUUUGUUCAGUCAUUCUAAUUUCUUAUUUGGGUUAUGUAGGUCACUUACAUGCAUACACUAGGCAGAUGCUGUGAUGAAUUGUUGUCUUUGGCCAAAGGACUGGAUUUUAGAGUGAUCAAAUAUCCUGGUUGUAAUGUCAAUGGGUUUAGAUUUCAUACCAAAACACGUGAGGUAGACAGAAAAACCCAGAAUAGUGGCAUUAUGGUGAAGGGUGAGCAUGCUGAUGUAGAAAUAAACUUCUAUGGUGCUAUUACAGAUAUCUUAGAGGUUGAAUACUCCUUCAGUCAAAGCCGAGUAGUUCUGUUCAAGUGUGAUUGGUGGGACUUGAAAAAUAGCUCAUGUCUUAAAAUAGACAAACAGAGUAAUCUAAGCAGCGUCAAUUUGUCAAAAAAAUGGUAUAUAGACCAGCCAUUUGUAUUCGCUUCCCAAGCCGAACAGGUCUUUUACGUAAAGGAUAUGAGGCUUGGAGGUGAUUGGCAUGUUGUCGAGUCAGUCUGUCCACGUUCAUCAUAUGCUGUUCUUGAAAAGGAUGAGGAUAAAUCAUGUGAAGAAGAGGUUUACCAAGAAGAUUAUCUUGAAGACCUAAUUGGGGUUCAAGAGAAUGUCGAUUUGUCUAACUUGAAAAGAGGUGAUAUGCUAGCUGAUGAAGCUAUAGAAACUGGCAUCCUAAAUUCUGAUUCUUCAGCUAAACAUGCCAGGAAAAUGGAUGAUUUUUUUGUUGAUGAUGAUGAGAUUCAGCAAUUGAGCUCGAGUGAAGAUGAAAGUCAAAAAUUUGUAGAAAGUGAUGACUAUGAGUCUGACUAAACGAUGUUGUAAAUAACAUUUUCAGUUUCUAUAUAUAGUUACCAUGUAACUUUUGGUUCAAAUCAAGUGUAUUUCUUAUCUUGAAUUAUUUUUAGUCACUCUUAUCUUCUAAUUUGCAAUAUCUAUUGUAAAAUACAAGGCAUAUUAAUUAAGUUCCUGCUUCGGGUGAGCAUGCUGGUAAUUGUACCUUGUCCUGGCUUUUUAGAUAUAUUUAGUCUAAAUGCAUGGCUGAUUGAUAUCUUUUUAUCAUGUAGUUACAUGGCUGGGCCAGGGAAGAAAGGAAAAUGUCCUAUGCGACCAACUCGAGGUGCUGAAAUACCUAAUGCAGCAGAAGCUAGAGAAAAAAUAGGUGAACACGUGAUGAAAAUUGACUUUGCUAUGUACUUGUACCUUCACUUCUUUAUACCAUUGGUUUUAAACAAUUAAGCAUCUGCCCUGCUGUGUAUUUCUUACUUCACUAUAGCAAGUUGGUGGCCCAAAAGGUAGUCUGGCUAGCAAUGCCAAUAAUGGUGCUGAAUUCAGCCUAUCUAGAAAGUCAGUUCAAAUUCGCCUAUUUGAUGAGACUGAGGUUAGUUCUUACUUUUGGUAGUUGGCAAUAUUUCAAAAAUACAUUUCUAAUGUGUAGUUGGCUGGAUUUUAGGAUCCUACUACCUCAAAUGGUCGCAAAACUACUACAGGAUCAUCAAGACAUGAGUUGACAACUCCUACAUCUAUUGAGCAGCAAAAUACUACUCCUACUUCAGUACAAGUCGGAUCUAACCAGUCCAUUGGUUGUGGAAGUGACCGGAAUAAUGAGAGCGAUGAUGUUCAACAGAAUGAUACCGGUAUAUGAGAUUUACUUGUAAUUUAUAUUACACAGCUAAUUUCAUUUCAGAUUUUUCCACUCACAUUCAUAACUGUGUACUAUGUUUUGGGUAGGUGGUAUCAAUGUAACUAGGAAAAGAGGAUAUACUCGCAAUAUUGCACUGUCCAAGGAAAAGAAGGCCGGCAAAAAGGUAAAAGUCCAGGUCUCUGAAGUUAGUGGAAGAGUAAUUGGAGAAGGGGCACAACAGUACAUCUCAGAGGCAAGUUGUGUCAUUCGUAAAUAUGGCAAAUGGAAAGCAGAAAAAUGGUCCAAACUCCAAGAAUCUGAUAGAGAAGGAAUGCUAAAACUUGUUAAUGUAAGUGAAAUUGUUUUGAAGGCUUGUUUUUCUUCUUGACUUGGUAACAACUAGUUCUGCAACAGGUCAUUUAUGCACUUUUUCUGACAUUUACAAUAAAUUUUUCACUCAUAUUUCAGAAUAGUUUUGCUUAUGAUGAAGGAGAACAUGUUAAGCCAGCACUUCUUAAGCAGUUAAAUACACAGUACAGAAGUCAACGAUACAAUUUUCACAAGAUUUUCAAGAAAUUUAGUACAAAAGAGGAAGCACUUGCAAAUCGUCCACAAUAUGUUGAAGAAUCUGAUUGGAUUUACCUUUGUGACUAUUUCUGUAGUCUAAAUUUUAUGGUAUAGAGGCUGACUUUUGAUCAUUUACUAUUGUUCUUUCUCAUGUUUUUUGUGUGUUAAAUUUUGAUCACGGCUGAACUUGAUAAGUGCAGAAGAUAAGUGAGAGGAACAAGAUCAAUAGAUCAAAGCAAAAAACUGCUCAUACAGCUGGAACAAAAUCCUUUCUUCGUCAUAAAGCUGACCGGGUAUUUGAUUAUCUUGAAGACAUGUCUUUUGGAUUGUUUAGGCAGGUUAUUUAACUUCUUAUUGUAACAGGAAGCACAAGAAGGGAGGGAAGUUGGACCAAUAGAACUUUAUGACAUCACCCAUUACAGCAAGAAGAAGAAUGCAAUGGUUGACGAAACAUCUGCUAUGAACUUAGUAAGAAAAAUGGAAUUGGUACUCUAAUAUUGUUGUACAACUCUUAUGAAAGUCUAACUUCAGAAUUUACCUUUGUGACAGAGCAUGAUGAAGGAGAAAAAGUUGGAAUCUGAAUCCAGUGGUGCAAAUAGGACUGAAGAAGACAUUUCCAUUGAAGUAACUGGACGUGUAACCGGAUACGUACAUGGCCGUGGUCCCUCCAAAGCUGGAAUAAUUGCCCAAAAGCUUGCAGAGAUAGAUGAUUUCAAGAAAAGAGCAGAACAAGCGGAGAAGCGCUCAGCUGAGUUGGAAAUAACAGUCCAAUCUCAACAACAACUUAUGGAGAAGCUUGUGAACCAGCAAAGUGAAAUGCAGAACCAACAAAGUGAAAUGCAAGAUCUCCUUAAAUCUUUGAAAGCACAGCUGCAAGCCAACAAGUAAGACGAUGAAGGCACAUCUGAACGAACUGAUUGGUAAGCAAUUUUCAACUAUAUAUACUUGUCUAAAUAGAUAUAAUGGCUGCUAUGGUUUAAAGUUAACAUAAGUUAUUGCAAAUUAGUUAUUGGUAGGCGACAAUAUUAACUUGUAAUAUCAAGACUGAGGAGGGACAUUUAAGAAUUACUUCUGUCAACACAAGGUUCUAAUCAGAUGGUGUUUUGAUCCUGGGAGUACAUUUGUGGCUUUAUCAUAGCUUUGUUAUCAUGAAACAAUAACAUUACACAAAAAAAAAGCUUCAAUAGUGUUUCUGUUUCAUGAUAUUAAUUUGAGGAGCACAGAAGGGCUAAAGAAUAGAAAAGAUUAUUAUUGUCAUUUGGCCAAUGAGUUAGCUAAAAACUUUUCAUGGCCAAUGAGUUAGCUAAAAACUUUUGACGGAACAAGAUAUACAGUCCCAAGUGUUAAGUGAACAAUUUAAUCAAUCUCCGACUUGUGUUGGGUUGGGAGAAUACUGCAUUUGAUUACGUGAACAUUUUAUCAAUCGCUGACUUGUAUUGUAAGAUUACUGAUUUGAUUACGUGACUAUUCUAAAAGGAAUAUUCCUCUUGUAUAGCAGAGUGGUAGUAUAGUAGUGAUGGACGAACAAAACAGAAGAUUUAUUCAUCUUUGACAGUAUUUUGACAGAUUAAAGAAACAUUGCUGAUGCCAAAAUUGGUCUUCAUUUGUGACAAACCUCCUCUUUACAACCGUUAACACUUGUUCUUUGGUAGUCAACCAAGGCAUCUUGUGUAGUAGAUAAGGCCUGCAAUUAUCACAGUUCCCAGUUUUUCCCUGUUUCCAUCCAUUGCAGCAAAAACAUAUCAUUUCUUGACAUCCAGGCAAAAUUUGCAGAAACAAGAUUUUUCUACCCCACCGAUGUCUUCAGCAAUCAAAUUCGGAUCAUCAAUCCAAUCCACCAACUCUUUCCUCCUACACACACUCCUGUGCACUAAUUUUUUUUUCCACAGACCAUCAAUCCAUUUACAAUCCUCCGGAUGGCAUGCAGGGUGGAAUCCGAUUCAGCUCUACAGACUUCAGUUCUAAAGAUUGCUUUUUCUUCAUUGGGGUAAACAGUUUUGUUAUGUCUUACCAGUCAUGAGAAGAACUGCCACCUACCUACCUAGUCCUCCUUGCUCACCUGUUACACAUACUCUCCCCUUCUCCAUCUUCUCCCCUUCCAUUAAUUUGUGUCCGUCUAGCCUUUAAUACCAGUAUAGUACUGUUUGGUCUCUCUGCAGUAGAUUGUCAGUUUCAACUUGAAGAAUUAAUGUAUUUCUAGUAUAGUAUUUCACUUGAAGAAUACCAGUAUAGUACAUGCGAAAUGUAUUUCCUUCAAGUAGUUAAAGGGAAUCUUCCUUGUUAGUUAGACUGUUGUGCUGAGUCAACAAUCAAGUAGUUAUUUUGUUAUUCUUGAGCUGUAUAAGAAUGCAGAAAUCUGGAUUGGGCAACAUGGAAAAAUCAUUUUGAAUAAUAUCUCUCUUUCUUCUUCCUCAAGUCUAGUUUCUCUCCCCCUUAUCACUCUAUUUCUGCUGCAAUUGCUGCAUUCAUUACGAUGGUAUCAGAUUAGUGAAUGCUUGUUACUUUUGUUGUUUAUUUAGCAAUUAGAGACUGUUUUGCUUUUGUCACCUGAUAACUUUACUAAUAACUUUACUACUUUAUUGCAGAUAUAUUGCUCAUUUUGGAGGUUUCGAAGAAGAUUAGCAGUACGGCUUACAUGUCGGCUCAAAAACUGUGGUUAUAGUGCUGUCUUAAGUUUAGAAAAUGUUUCAGAAGCGUAGGAAAUGUUUUGGGACUUGGAAUAUGUUUUUUAGUGCAGCCUUGACUUAUAUGAGUAGUAUUUGUUCUACUCAAACUUAUGAAACUAUUUGUACUAUGAUGUUGCACUUAUUUAUGACAUUUGAAUAUUUAAUAUAUUAUUUUGACAUAUUCUAUUGUAACGGUGCCUACAUUUGUUAUUUAUUAAACAUUGCUGAUAUUUUCAUUUUUUAGAUAUUAUUGCAGUAGGAAAGUCAUGUGUAAGGUGUUGUAAAUGAGUAGUAUUUUUCUAGGCAGGAUGUCUUUAUUGACAAUUGUUAUUGUCACUCAAUCAAAACUGUCUAUUGAUAAGGGAAUGUUGUCACAGUUGAUCAGGGGUUUAUUGACAACAAAGUCGUCACUAAUUCCCCUAUGCCCUCACUAUCGUCCCUUCAUGCAUCACUUGCAUCACUGACAAGAGAAGGUGUUGUCACUAGAUUUAUAGCUUUUACUGAUGACAUAUGUUGUCAUUAAAAGUUUCAUUCAGUGACGACUCUAUAAUUUCAUCUUUUACUGACGAUAUAGCUUGUCAUAAAAAAGGUUCUAUUUACUGACGACUUUAAAGUCGUCACUGUAUACUUUUACCGACGGAGAUUCAGUGACGACCUUGCGACAACUGAAAUGUUGUCAAUAAUGGUCAUCAGUGACGACUUUUUGAUUAUUUGUGACGAAAAGUAGUUAUCACUGAUGACCAAAAUUCUUGUAGUGACAAGUAAAUAUAGUAAUGUUGUUGUAGAUUAUGGCUCAAUUUGGAUCAACUUAUGCGCUGAAAUUCUUUAAGAUGUCUUCUAAGGAUUAUUAGUAUUUGAAAUCUAGUUUUUAACAGGCCAAGUUGUAUGAAUGGUUGACAUUUAUAACUCAAGUUAUGAUUUUUCUAAAGGAAUGGCAUAAGUUAGGGUUUUUUGUGCAUACUAGGGUUUUUGGUGUGUUUUUGGUGUAUUUUAGUAGUGUGAUUAAUUGGUGAGGUGUGUGUACUAAAUUUAAUGGUUAAGAGUGAGUUUUAUAUAAGAGAAAGUGUGUGAUUAGAAGUUCUAAUAAUAAGUUAGUGAAUCAUAAGUUAAAACACUAGUACACGCGAGUUAAGGAAAAUUGGCUUGUACUGACGGGCACCGUUUGUUACCUAUUGAAUACACCACUUGAACACUACUUUAUUACCUUAAUCUCUUUGUUAUUAAUUGAGCAAAAUCAGCCCUAAAUAUCUUCUCAAUGCAGCCGAAAAUUUGGACUUAAAAAAACAAGAGAGAAAAGAAAAUUUUGACCUCCAAUCAAAGUGUGACACUUGUUAAACUUUGACCAAACCAAUUUCCUAUCUUCUUAUCUUUCCUUUUGGCCACUUUUUCUUCAUUCUUUCUUCAUCAUGGCCGAACCUCUUGAGGGAAAAACAAAGAAAGGAAACUUCCAUGGCUACCAUGAUUCUUACCUUGUUUGAGUGGAGAUCAACAAGAACAGCAAAACUAAACCGAACAAAGUAGCAAUAAGGUAGCAAGGAAGCUUGUAGUGGAGUUUCUUUGGAGAGGAAAGCCUUGGUUUUUAACUUUCUCUGGAGGAUUGAAGGUAACAAGCUGGAAAAUUAUCUUUCUCUUUCUAUUCUUGCAAUUUAUUAGGAAGAUGACUUGAAAUUGGAUGUUUUAUGGAAGAUAGGGUAAAAUACACUAAACCCCCUUGUGGUUUGGGUUAUUAUCAUAAAACCUCCUCAUUGUUUAAAAAUCCCCAAAGAACCCCCUCAUGGUUUGGACUAAUUUGGAUAAUGAACGGAAAUCAUCUAAUUUGACGGAAAAUAUGAAAUUCCUAUAUUAACCUUGUUUCAACCUAUACUAAAAGUUAGUUCAAGAUUUACAUAAGAUUUUAAAAACUUUCUCGCUUCAUUAUAAAGAAACAUCAAGUGGCUCAUUUGAAAAUUUCAAAACUUAUCAUCUUCUCCAAAUCUCCACUUUUUCUUUCGACGACAGUAGAUCAACCACCAAUUUCCACAGCCACCAUUCAACUGAAAAUCCAAAUCAAGACAAGACCCAAAUUAUACUUUCUUAAUUCUCUCAAAUCUUGCAUAUUCAUGGAGGAAUUUAUCACUGUUAUCAUCCCAUCUCAAAAAACUCCAUGAAAGAACAAAAUAUACUACUCCACUUUAGUUGCAUAAUAUUAAUGGGCCCUAAUCAGGAGAGCUCUGCAAAACUACUGGGUUUGGUGAAAUUGGGAAGUUAAGAGAACAAAUUGUGUUGUGGCUUUGUACCUAGCAAACCUAGGCGUUAUUUGGGUGUUACCCCAAGGGACAAAUUCCGCAACACAUCUCCCAUGGUAGGCCUAUCUACCUCGUAGUCUGCCAAGCAUUUCUCCACUGUCUCCCCCAAUUUUUUCAAAGAAGCUGGUCUUAUUUGACCUCUGAGAUGCGGAUCUAUAAUCUACUGAAGCAACCCCUUCUUCUGCCAUUCUGGUGCCCAUUCACCUAAAUUUACGUGCUUCCGGGAUAACAAUGGAUCCACGGCAGGCCUAGCACAGAGAACCUCAAAUAGCACAACCCCGAAUGAGUAAACAUCUGACUUGUUUGUAAGCUACUGCCUGCGAAAAUACUCUGGAUCAAGGUAGCCAAAACUUCCUUUUACACCUGUGCUUACAUGGGUCUCAUUCAGACAUGGGCCAGACCUUGACAGUCCAAAAUUUGCAACCUUAGCAACAUAACUCUCAUCAAGCAAAAUGUUUGUUGAUUUGAUGUCACGAUGAAUGAUCCCUUGCGCCGAACCUGUAUGAAGAUAGUGGAUGCCAUUAAUUCUUUGUCAAAGGAUUUUCUGGUGCUCAGUCUUCCUGCUUGCUGCUUCUUUCUCAGUCUUUCAAAGUCAAAAAACUUUUUGCUUUUUUUUUCCUUUUCACAGCUCGAAGAAAGUUACCGCUCACACACCUCCAUCUCUGCUUUCUGGUUUGUUGCACCAGUAGGUGAGAGAGAGAGGGAAAAGAAAUAGAGAAGGAAAGAGGAAAAAAGAAAAGUAAGAAUAACAAAAAUUGGUGUUGAUUUUGCUUCAGUUUUUCUACUCCAAAUAGUUCAGGAGAAAGAAGAACAAGGAAAAAAAAAUGUUACCCUUGAUGUAUUGUUAUCACACUUGCUUGUCAAGCGUGUGUAAUUCACUUUCCGUUAAAUUUGACGAUUUCUGUUCAUUGUCCAAAUUAGUCCAAACCACGAGGGGGUUCUCUGUGGGUUUUUAAAUGAUGAGGAGGUUUUAUGAUAAUAACCCAAACCACAAGGGGGUUUAGUGUAUUUUACCCAUGGAAGAUAUCAUGAAUUUGUGAAGAUUGGUGAAAUUUCCAGCUUAGGGUUUUAUUUUUCAACCUUGAUUUGUGUUUUUUAGCUAUGAUAUGACGGUAUCUAACUUGGUUGAGGACUUGUGUGAAGAUUUAUUGCUUUAUUCUGACUUUUUAGCUUUCAACUAAGAAUUGCCAGCUUUAGCUAUAAAAUUUCAGCGUUGUCAAGUAAUUUCCAGCAAGUGUAGUGAUUCUAUCCUGUUUUAGAAUCAAACUGACCUGCAUAUUCGUCCAUGAUAAAGGCCGAAUUAGGUCUUGCUCAAAACAUGAAAAUUGUAGGGAAUGGAGUUAAAUAUCUGUCUGUUAAAUUUCAGCUCAAUCAGAGUACUAUAUCUUAUAAAAUGACCAAAAUACCCCUGACUGCCCAAAAGCCCUAUUUCACAUGCAGCUUUCUAUUUUCUCUGAGAUUGCACAUUUUGACCUUAAAAAUGCAAGAACAGGGUGUUAAUGUCUUCAUAGGAAAUGUAGGUCUCUGUCUUAGCUUCGAAAUGCCAUAAAAUUUACUCCAAUCCGAUAAGCAUAACUUCAGCUAUGACUAAAACUCCGGAAGAUGUCAAACCUGUUACUUAGUCAUUCGUCUUUAAAAUUGAUUUCCAGCUUUGAUUUUGAUGGUUACAUUGCUAGAAUUGCCUUGUGUUUGGAUGAAAUUGAGCCUAGUUGAAAGGCUAUUAUGUUAAUUUUGCUGAUGUGUGAAUUUGGGCUGAGUUGAGAAAAAUAAUAAAGCCAUAAAUGGCUGGAAAAUAGCUAAAUACAAAGGGCAUGCCGCCCAAAUUUUCACUCGCAACUGAGCAAAGAUUUGAGGACGAUUUGAAUUUGAUUUGUCUAAGGUAUUCGAGUCUUCUUUUGUGGAGGUAUAUAAGCUGGAAUUUGGCCGAAACUCGUACCCUUGGAAAAAUGAAAGUAGCGACAAAUAGAUAUACGUUUUUCUCAUCUUUUCGACUCAAAUGGGAAUUCCAAAGUUUUAAUCGUUUCAUUGCCAAAACCAAAAGAGCGAGCAUGAAUUUUCUAGAGUUUGAUACGUAACAUGAACCCUAUCUAAAUGAGUUUCAUUUACUUGAUCUUCUUGAAACAAAACUCUUAAGUUUCGAACUCUAGUUGAUUUCAAGCUUUUAAAUGAUAUUGUAUCGCAGAUUUGGACUCUAACCAAAGAGUUACACCUGAGCGUGAUUUUUGAUAAGCACUAAAUCUUUGGUGAAUGCUUCCAAAUACAUGAUUGAACUUGAUAUUUGAUUAAAUUUUUUACCAACGUGAUCGGAUAAGAUUUGCUUGGUUUGGUCGACCAAGUGUGUACUUUAUCGCAUUUGAUCUAACUCAACUAAUCAGUUGAUAUUUCUGUGAGGACACAUAUUUUAAUUAUUGCAAAAUAUUCUUAAAUUGGUCAUUUAAAAGUAUUUUUGCGUGUGAGUUACUCAAGUUUUCCCAAAUUGCAUGAAUUUCUCGAAAAUGAGUCUAAACAAUUGGUUCUUUAAACAAUUAUUAUUUUAAUGUCCAAAUUUAUUCGAGUUGAAUUAUUUAUGGUGAUUUUGAUUGUUAUAUAUACUUGAAUUAUCAUAUUCUAAAGUUUUAGAGUCUAAUAAGUUGAUGUUUCAAAGUUCGAGCGAGAAUUCCUUAAGUUCGACCCUUGUGCGCCCGCGUGCCAAAAUGGCCCCGACAGGCGCAUUAAUCAGCUUAAUUGGAGAUUUAAGAAUUUGAUAUUAGACUACUAAGAAUGUACUAUUAAUGCACGAGAGGAAUUACCUCGGAGGUUUAGUGCACAAAAGUAGCAAACGAGCGCGAAAAGUGGCGCGAAACCCUAUUCGGACCUAGCGAGGUUUGACCUUGAAAACUUAGCCUUUAAGCUUCCUUUUCUCCCCAAAAAACACACUUAAAACAUUCUGAAACAAUCUCUCUCAUCUUUCUCUCUCUAAAUUCGGCCCUCACCAGAAAAAAUAAUGGAAGAAGAGCUCUCCAAUUUUUCUGCUCAAACCUUGCACCUAAUCCAUCAAAGUUCCUCAUCAACUUGUGGGUUUUCAUCCUAGCUAAGUGGAGAAACUGAUUUUGAGGCUUUGAUGGUGGAUUGGGUGGUUGACGGUGGUGAAAUUUGGGAAGGAAAAUUCUGAUUUUGCAAGGUUUCAUAGCUCCAAGAGGUAACACACAAAAUCCUUGCUUUCUUGGUUCAUUUCUAGCUUUGAAGCUUGUAGCUUCCUUAUUGUUGUUAUUAGUUGAAUUUGGUUGGUUGAUGUGGGCUUUAUGAACUCCCACCAUUGUUGUUUAAGGGCUGUUAAGAUGUUAAUGUGUGUGUGAGUGUGAUUUUGGUGAGUUAUAAUGGUCGAAACUAGAAGAGGAAGAGAAAAUAGGGGAACCAAGAGAAGGGAGGACUGCUGACCGAAAUUCUUGACCUUGUUACUCUGUUUUUCUGCCCAUAUUUUCGUGCCUUUUUUUUGAGUCCAUUUGGGUGCUGAUAUGUUGAGCUUUUAAGUGAACAAAAUUUCAGCCAAAAACUCUUUGAUUUGGUACACCAAAAUUGCACGUAAAAUUUAGUCACAACCCUGGAAAAUUUCUAACUUGCUGCCCGACUUUCUUGUUUGCUGCUGCCCUGUAAUUUCGAAACUUUUAGGGUGGUAAUUGAGCUUCCAAAUUGAUGUAGAUAUGUUGUGCUAUGUGUAUUGUGGUUGUCUACCAAAAAUCAACCCAAAUGGUUGGUUAAAUUUUGAGUUACAAGUAAAGAAUCAAAACUGGAACAAGCUCCAGAAUUUUCUGACCAGCAACAUUUGUGUAGCUAUAACGUUUUGCUCGUUGAUCGAAAUCAAGUGCUACAUGUGGCAUUUGAAACUAGACUCUUAUAACUUUAAAAUGAUACCAAGCACAUUUUCUAGUUCAUCCCGAGUGAUCCGUGGUGAGUCUUGAAAGUUUGCUGAUUGACAGCCACUGUUCAGCCGAGGACAGUCCAGAAAUUGCAACUUUUUUCUGAUUUUUGAACCACUUGGGUUUCGAUAUUGAAAAUGAUUUCUUCUGUGUAAAUGUAGCCUUCUGUGUAAAUGUUUUGCCCUAUCUUCUAUGAACGGAAAUUUCACUUGAAAAAUUGACUUGCUUCUGAUUUGACUUUUGGAUAACGGUCUUCUACAAAGUUGUUAUGCUUCACAUGAAGUUUCCGACAAUGUAAAAUUUUCCAUUUUUGGACUUUCUGAACUUCCGGACCGAUUUUUCAAAAUUUCACGCGUAAAAGUGAAAUUUUCCGAUUUGAACCUGCUUGCUCUGUUAAGAGCUUAGGUCACUCUUUUGAGACUCUUGGGAUAUUCCAAACUUAUUUUAUGGUGAAAACGUGCUCACUUAUAAUUUGAAACUUUAUUUUGAAUGUCGGUUUCGAUAAACCGAAACACUUGAAAAUUUGGCCUUGAGCAUUUUAACUAGAGAAAUCCUUGAGGAAUUUCACUAAAUUUCCUAUUUGAAAGUUAGAACUUUAACUUCCAUAUUUAUUAUGGAAAACGUGAUUGUUAGGAAACUCUGACUUUGUAAGUUCAGAAAAUAUGAUUUUUCACUUAUAAUCUAGUACUUGGGCUUUUAUUGAAAAUUUUCUAGUACGAACACAUUUUUCUCCUUUUUCGAUUUUCGUGCCAAAUUAAGCAUUUUACUCUUCUUUUGAAAUUGAUAGUCCUUGCCAUGAUUUAACUCAGAAAUGGGACUUUUAAAUUCCUUUUGGUUAUUAUUCCAAUGAUUAAGUGAAAACUUCCUAUUUCGAUUUGUUUGAGUUUGAGGCUCUUGAGUGUGUGUAUCUAAGAGGUUUUCUUUUAUUCGCCUUGAUCGAGCAUCUAGGUAAUUCGUGAUUGUGAUUAAUCUCAGGUGAUCCAGAGGACACCGAGAAGGUCUUUUAAUUUCCUGCUUUUGCUCUUGCUUUGCUCCGGAUUACGGUGAGGGAUUCCGAACUAUUUUGCACAAAAAAAUUGCUUCUCGAACUUUUAUAACCACUGUUUGUAUAAUUGCAUAUAUAUAUAUAUAUACGUGAUGUGACUUGAUAAGUGCUUCUUACAUGCCUAAGUGGUCAAAUACUUGAUGAAUCUUGUUCAUUUGAAUGAAAAAUACUUAUUUCUAGGCGAGUGUGUACUUUAUCGCACUCGACCUAACUGUUGUUGUAUCACUUAACUGUUCAAUAUUUCAUUGUUUAUAUGUUAUUUGCGUAUGCUGUAGGCCAUGUGUACUUUAUCACAUCGGCUGAACAAGGCUUUUCCCCCUUCGUUAUCACCUAUUCGAGCCAGAAGCGGACUCGGUCGGAUAGGUUGAUAACCCUGGGCACUGUAUUUUGGUAUACUCGAGUAUUACCGUUGGAGGGAUAAGGUGAUGGCCAGUCAACCGAAGGAGUUACCCAUAGGACUUAUAAGGACGGGAAGUGGACCGAAUACUGUAUCCUUUUGUGUUUGCUUUACUAUUAAUACUAUUACUGCUCUCCUAGUUGACAUUUCUCGGGUAAGACUCCUUAUGAUCAAUGAUCUCUUAGACGAAGCAAUCCUUGCAAUGUUCUUCUAGUCGGACGAGUCACUAUUUGUUUGACUAAAAUUCAUGAAAAUAUAUGUAUAUGGUCAUUCAUUCCAAAUGUACGUUAGUGAUGUUAAAUGAUUUAUGAGUUGUACUCAUAGUAAAGUUACCAGCAAAAGUACUACUACUACACGUGAUUUCAAAGUAGCAAUUACGCACUGAUUUAUAAAUACUUGAUUUUCCCUUUCGAAACCUCAUUGAGCUUUAGCUCACCCCCAAAAAUAUUUUAGUUCUAUACAGGGCUCAAGAAGGAUAGUUACUCAAGCACAAGGAUUUGGAGUACCGUGGAUUAUCCUUUAUCUGGGUUGUGAUUGAUUUUCUUUGUGGAAUGUAAUGGUUAUUUUGAAAGAUUUGUGAACUUUAUGGUAUGAUGUACUUGUGGUUGAAGUGAAUGUAAAUCUCAUGAUAUUUUGCAGAUUAUACUUUUGUAAGAAUGAUUUGAAUUGCAAACAUAAGAAUUGUACUUAAGUUAUUAUUAUGAAAAUUUAGAUGAAGUAUUGGACUUGUACCUUGGUAUGUUGGACUAGUGGAUAUAAUAUACUCCGUUUGAGCUUUUAAGAACCAUCGAUUAUACUCAUGCUUGAGUUUUGUAGUGAGUCCCAACGAGAGGUGGGCAGGCGGCCCGUCGAACCCUUUGAUUCGCCUUAGGGGGAGGUGAGGCUGUCACUGGAGGUAUAAGAGCUUAGACUCUAAUCUUUGUAGUGUAUCCUAGACUUUAAGUAUAGGAUGCCGGACUGUGGAGUUUGAUUGUCUAGUAAGUGGGAUGUGAUCUUAAUACUUGAUGAUUGAUUGAGUAAUAUUUAAGUGCUUGUUUUUAAGUGGGUUUGCACACUAGGGUUUCUUAUAUUAUAGGAAACUGAAGAGAAUUGUGUGAGAUUGAUUUGAAAAGUGAUAGUUGAGUUUCUUGAACAUUGGUACUAGUUGAUAUCUAUAUAAUCGAAUUUGACUGGGUAAAUCGUAAGAUUCGAGGUAUCCUCUAGACUUGUAAUCUUCGUAAUUAUAUGUAUAAAACUGAAUGUGAAUCUUGGAUCGAUUGCUUGAGUGAGACCUCUUGUGAAAUUUUCUUUGAGGAAUAGUGGGGAUUGAGUUGAUUUGCAUCUGGAGAUGGCCAGUCCUUGUACGAAUUGACUUGGUUUCCACUUGACGCUUAAGUGAGCCAGUUGUACAUAUUCUCUGAGUUUGAACAUGGGAUUUGAGGCUUUAACUAGAAAUCCCAAGGUUGGUUAUUCUUGGAGAUGAAUGUACUUUAGUUAUUGGCUGGCUUGUUAAAGAUUUUUAAACUUUGGAUGAAUGACCUUUGAUUUCAACUUUUAUUAUGACUUGAUUAGCUCUAAUUUUGUAAUGGCAUGCAACUUAAUUGAGACUAGUUUAAAUUCUAUGUUAACUGUGAAUGUGUCAUUUGUGAAAAUGUUAUCUGUGGAUGUUUUCUUGCUCAUUUUGAAAAUUGUUAAAUACACGUGUGCAUAGAUAAUUUUUGAUUUAGUGAGCCAUUUACACAUACAUGUAUAGAUUAGUUGUGAGAAUGGAAGCUGGGAGACGACGACGUGGGCGUCAACCCAGACGACCUCAAAAUCAAGGAGGAGAUAGAGAAUCUACCGCCGACCGAAACGUUAAACCUAGGGUUGGGAUAGAAAACCAAAUUGGGUUAGUUUUGACUCGCAUGAUAGACAUACUAGAGUGAUUGGUACCCCAACAAGGCCAGGGAAUUGGACAACUGAACCAACUUGGAAACCACGAAAUAGGGGAGGAUAGGGAUUUAGAGCGAUUUCAAAAGUUUUUUUCUCCUAAAUUUUCUAGGGGUCCUGACCCCGAUAUAGCUGAGAAUUGGUUGGAGAAUAUAAGGAAUAUAUUUGAUGCACUAGAUUAUUUCGAGUAGAGAGAAGUAAAUUUUGCUGUGUUCCAACUUGAAGGACCGGCUCGAUUAUGGUGGAAUGUUAUAUGAAAUAAGUGGGAAAGGGAACAAACUCCGUGAACUUGGAUGAAUUUUGUCCUAGAAUUUAAUGAAAAUUCCUUCCACCUCUAGUCCAAGAAAAGAUAGAGGAUGAUUUUAUAAAACUUCGUCAAGGAACUUCAAGUGUGGUGGAAUAUGAAACUGAGUUCACGAAGCUAUGUAGGUUUGCCUGGGAUUGGUAAUUACAGAGCGAAAGAGAAUAAGGCGGUUUAUUUAGGGACUCAAUCUAGAAAUUCAAGAUGGUCUCGCAGCGGCCCAAAUCGAAAUGUUUAGUGAUGCCCUUGAGAAAGCCCAAAGGGUUGAGAUUUCAAAAGCCAAAUUGAGAGUUUUUCAAGUACGGAAAAGAGAUGCAACUAGUAGUAGUCACCUUGAGGCAUCUAGAAACACUGUACCACCACCUAAAGUUGGAAAAGGAGCUAGUGGGGUGAGACUACCACUUCCAUCUUCUUCUUAGAUGCAGCAACUAAAAGGAACUCCGUCACAAGGAACUCAGAUAAAAAGGGCUCAAUCAAGGGUGACACCGCAGGGAAGUCAAGCCAUGAGUUUUCAACCAAUCUAUGGAUACUGUGGAAAAGGAAACCACACCGAAAAUAACUGCUGGGUGCAGGAGCGAAAGUGUUUGCGUUGUGGGAGUACAGACCAUCAGGUUAGCAAUUGCGCAAGAAAGCAACCACGAGAGAGUAAUAAUCGACAAGGAUAUGGAACUACUUCUGAAUGAACUACUGAAGGAGGGAAUCGACCACAAGUGUCAACUGGAACAUACGCCUCUAUUGGUCGACUGACUCUGGGGUCGAUCGAGGUAGUUGAAGGUAUGAAUUUCGAGGACGAAUUUCUCUUAAGGGGGAGAGAAUGUGAGGACUCGUAUUUUAAUUAUUGCAAAAUAUUCUUAAAUUGGUCAUUUAAAAGUAUUUUUGCAUGUGGCUUACUCAAGUUUUCCCAAAUUGCAUGAAUUUCUCGAAAAUGAGUCUAAACAAUUGGUUUUUUAAACAAUUAUUAUUUUAAUGAACAAAUUUAUUCGAGUUGAAUUAUUGAUGGUGAUUUUGAUUGUUAUAUAUACUUGCAUUAUAUAUUUUAAAGUUUUAGAGUCGAAUAAGUUGAAAUUUCAAAGUUCGAGCGAGAAUUCCUUAAGUUCGACCCUUGUGCGCCCGCGUGCCGAAAUGGCCCCAACAGGCGCAAUAAUCAGCUUAAUUGGAGAUUUAAGAAUUUGAUAUUAGACUACUAAGAAUAUACUAUUAAUGCACUAGAGGAAUUACCUCGGAAGUUUAGUGCACAAAAGUAGCAAACGAGCGCGAAAAGUGGUCGCGCAAACCCUGCUCGGAUCUAGCGAGGUUUGACCUUGAAAACUUAGCCUUUAAGCUUCCUUUUCUCCCCAAAAAACACACUUAAAACAUUCUGAAACAAUCUCUCUCAUCUUUCUCUCUCUAAAUUCGGCCCUCGCCAGAAAAAAAAUAAAGGAAGAAGAGCUCUCCAAUUUUUCUGCUCAAACCUUGCACCUAAUCCAUCAAAGUUCCUCAUCAACUUGUGGGUUUUCAUCCUAGCUAAGUGGAGGAGCUGAUUUUGUGGCUUUGAGGGUGGAUUGGGUGGUUGAUGGUAGUGAAAUUUGGGAAGGAAAAUUCUGAUUUUGCUGGGUUUCAUAGCUUCAAGAGGUAACACACAAAAUCCUUGCUUUCUUAGUUCAUUUCUAGCUUUGAAGCUUGUACUUUCCUUAUUGUUGUUAUUAGUUACAUUUGGUUGGUUCAUGUGGGCUUUAUGAACUUCCACCAUUGUUGUUUGAGGGCUGUUAAGAUGUUAAUGUGUGUGUGAGUGUGAUUUUGGUGAGUUAUAAUGGUAGAAACUAGAAGAGGAAGAGAAAAAAGGGGAACCGAGAGAAGGGAGCACUGCUGACCGAAAUUAUUGACCUUGUUACUCUGUUUUUCUGCCCAUAUUUUCGUGCCUUUUAUUUCAGUCCAUUUGAGUGCUAAUAUGUUGAGCUUUAAGUGUACAAAAUUUCAGCCAAAAACCCUUUGAUUUGGAAAAUUUUUGACUUGCUGCCCGACUUUCUUGUUUGCUGCUGCCCUGUAAUUUCGAAAAUUUUCUGGUGGCAAUUGAGCUUCCAAAUUGAUGUAGAUAUGUUGUGCUAUGUGUAUUGUGGUUGUCUACCAAAAAUCAACCCAAAUGGUUGGUUAAAUUUUGAGGUACAAGUAAAGAAGUAAAACUGGAACAAGCUCCAGAAUUUUCUGACCAGCAAUAUUUGUGUAGCUAUAACGUUUUGCUCAUUGAUCAAAAUCAAGUGCUGCUUGUGGCAUUUGAAACUAGACUCUUAUAGCUUUAAAAUGGUACCAAUCUCAUUUUCUAUUUCAUCCCGAGUGAUCCAUGGUGAGUCUUGAAACUUUGCUGAUUGACAGCCACUGUUCACCCGAGGACAGUCCAGAAAUUGUAACUUGUUGCUGAUUUUUUGAACCACUUGGGUUUGGAUAUUGAAAACGAUUUCUUCUGUAUAAAUGUAGCCUUGUGAAUCUAGUUUUUAAUGCCACCAACCAUUCCUGAUUUGAGUAAAUAUAGAGCCAGAUAUGACCUUUUUGCUAAAGUGUGUCAGAAUUGAAAUUCUGGAAAACAAAGCUCAUCAGUCCUUAAGCUUGUGCGAACUUCAAACUUUUAUUUCUUGAGCUAGGAACAUUGGAAUUGAGUUCUGUUAUUUUUUUUUUUUUUUGAAAACUUGAAUGGAACGUAUAUCAAAUUUCAAAGGUUGGUUUUGAUUCUAUGAUUUUUGACAAAAAUCCAAGGUUAUUGGAAAAGUGGGGACUGUUUUGCCCUAUCUUCUAUGAACGGAAAUUUCACUUGAAAAAUUGACUUGCUUCUGAUUUGACUUUUGCAUAACGGUCUUCUACAAAGUUGUUAUGCUUCACAUGAAGUUUCCGACAAUGUAAAAUUUUCCAUUUUUGGACUUUCUGAACUUCCGGACCGAUUUUUCAAAAUUUCACGUGUAAAAGUGAAAUUUUCCGAUUUGAACCUGCUUGCUUUGUUAAGAGCUUAGGUCACUCUUUUGAGACUCUUGGGAUAUUCCAAACUUAUUUUAUGGUGAAAACGUGCUCACUUAUAAUUUGAAACUUUAUUUUGAAUGUCGGUUUCGAUAAACCGAAACACUUGAAAAUUUGGCCUUGAGCAUUUUAACUAGAGAAAUCCUUGAGGAAUUUCACUAAAUUUCCUAUUUGAAAGUUAGAACUUUAACUUCCAUAUUUAUUAUGGAAAACGUGAUUGUUAGGAAACUCUGACUUUGUAAGUUCAGAAAAUAUGAUUUUUCACUUAUAAUCUAGUACUUGGGCUUUUAUUGAAAAUUUUCUAGUACGAACACAUUUUUCUCCUUUUUCGAUUUUCGUGCCAAAUUAAGCAUUUUACUCUUCUUUUGAAAUUGAUAGUCCUUGCCAUGAUUUAACUCAGAAAUGGGACUUUUAAAUUCCUUUUGGUUAUUAUUCCAAUGAUUAAGUGAAAACUUCCUAUUUCGAUUUGUUUGAGCUUGAGGCUCUUGAGUGUGUGUAUCUAAGAGGUUUUCUUUUAUUCGCCUUGAUCGAGCAUCUAGGUGAUUGUGAUUAAUCUCAGGUGAUCCAGAGGACACCGAGAAGGUCUUUUAAUUUCCUACUUUUGCUCUUGCUUUGCUCCAGAUUACGGUGAGGGAUUCUGAACUAUUUUGCACAAAAAAAUUGCUUCUCGAACUUUUAUAACCACUGUUUGUAUAAUUGCAUAUAUAUAUACGUGAUGUGACUUGAUAAGUGCUUCUUACAUGCUUAAGUGGUCAAAUACUUGAUGAAUUUUGUUCUCUUGAAUGAAAAAUACUUAUUUCUAGGCAAGUGUAUAUUUUAUCGCACUCGACCUAACUGUUGCUGUAUCACUUAACUGUUCAAUAUUUCAUUGUUUAUAUGUUAUUUGCGUAUGCUAUAGGCCAUGCGUACUUUAUCACAUCGGCUGAACAAGGCCUUUCCCUCUUCGUUAUCACCUAUUCAAGUCAGAAGUGGACUCGAUCGGAUAGGUUGAUAACCCUGGGCACUGUAUUUUGGUAUACUCGAGUAUUACCAUUGGAGGGAUAAGGUGAUGACCAGUCAACCGAAGGAAUUACCGAUGGGAGUUAUAAGGACGGGAAGUGGACCGAGUAUUGUAUCCUUUUGUGUUUGCUUUACUAUUAAUUCUGUUAUUGCUCUCCUAGUUGACAUUUCUCGGGUAAGACUCCUCAUGAGCAAUAAUCUCUGAGACGAAGCAAUCCUUGUAAUGUUCUUCUAGUCGGACGAGCCACUAUUUGUUUGACUAAAAUAUAUGAAAAUAUAUGUAUAUGGUCAUUCAUUCCAAAUGUACGUUAGUGAUUUUAAAUGAUUUAUGAGUUGUACUCAUAGUAAAGUUACCAGCAAAAGUACUACUACUACACGUGAUUUCAAAGUAGCAAUUACGCACUGGUUUAUAAAUACUUGAUUUUCCCUUUUGAAACCUCAUUGAGCUUUAGCUCACCCCAAAAAAAAACAUUUUAGUUCUAUGCAAGGCUCGAGAAGGAUAGUUACUCAUGCACAAGGAUUUGGAGUACAGUGAAUUAUCCUUUAUCUGGGUUGUGAUUGAUUUUCUUUGUGGAAUGUAAUGGUUAUUUUGAAAGAUUUAUGAACUUUAUGGUAUGAUGUACUUGUGGUUGAAGUGAAUGUAAAUCUCAUGAUAUUUUGGGGAUUAUACUUUUGUAAGAAUGAUUUGAAUUGCAAACAUAAGGAUUGUACUUUAGUUAUUAUUAUGAAAAUUUAGAUGAAGUAUUGGACUUGUACUUUGGUAUGUUGGACUAGUGGAUAUAACAUACUCCGUUUGAGCUUUUAAGAACCAUCGAUUAUAUUCAUGCUUGAUUUUUGUAGUGAAUCCCGGCGAGAGGUGGGCAGGCGGUCCGCCGAACCCUUUGGUUCGCCUUAGGGGAAGGUGCGGCUGUCACAAUUUCAUUCAUGCUUGUACAAGUGGCUUGAUUUGUAUUGACCUGUACUUGUAUUUGUACUUUUGCUUGAUUUGUAAGUGCUGAACUGCAGUAUGUAUCACACUAGAUACGAGUGGGAGGUACCUCUCAUUUCCGUCUCCAUACUUUUAUCUCGAUUCAGUCGAUUGGAGAUGUUAUCUCAUCGACUUCUUGGGGACCCAAAUUUUACUGGCUAAUUAAUCGAGUCGAGCCGGUAAGGGUUUGUCGAUUAAAUAAUGAACCAUGGGUAUCUAGUGUUGUCAAGUGGAGUGUUAUCUUCUCGACUAAUCGAUAUACUUAAAUAUUACCACCAGAGUUUAGUUGGUAUUCGAGCCUGGCAAGGGACUUGAAUGGUGGACGGAUUGGUGUGAAGCGAAGUACUAUUGGAUUGGUUACUUUACUUGAAAGUUGAUGGAGUGUCAACUAAUACUGGAUCAAACUCUGGUGAAGCAACGGGAAUUUGGCUCCUGAGAUCCAUUUGUAUCCUUAUACUUUGAUUGUUAAUCGUAGUGUUAUUAUUUCUUUUAGAAAAAGAAUUUUACACUCGCUCAUUUUGAGAUUUGGUACUUGAAGUAUUUUUGCUCACUUUUAUGAACUUGUUAUGCUCGCUACUUUGCAACUUUGAUACAUGCACUUUUAAAUAAUGGCCAACUUGCUAUUUGAAACCUCACUGAAUUUUAGCUCACCCUAUUUCGUUAAAUUUGUUUUCCUUACAAGGGAUACGAAUGAGGGCGUGAGACUGGUACAGGCUAGCAUAAUAUAGAAUUUGGAAAUUUUGCGAUUGUAUUCGCGGUAGUGCUCGGUUAGGGUUGAAUUUAUCUGGAAUUCAUAUCUUUUGUUAUAAUUGGGAUUGUAUGAAUGUUUGGAAUAGAAAUGAAUGUACAUAUACGUUCCAAGUUUGAGAAUUGUUAUUUCCUUUACUCUUGAGAUUGUAACCUAUUUUAUUUGGAGUGAGUGAGUCCUGACGAGAGUUGGACAGGCGGUCCAUUAAACCCUGGGAUAUGUCCUAGGGGAAGGUGGGGUCGUCAUAGUCAACUCCAGUGGUUAACUUUCAUAAUGAUUAAUUAUUUAAUAACUUGUUAAAUUAAACAAAAAAUUAUCUAUAACAUGUUUUAUUGAUGUCCAUACCAUUUUUACAUUAAAAAAUCAUAUUUUAAUCAUCCACUAGUUCAACCAUCCAUUCAUUGGUUGGACCAGUAACCCACUAACCCAUCCAAAAGUUUGAAUCGCAACUUUGUUAAUCUGCAAUCGGCGGUCUUUCUUCGGUUUCAUCUCUGAAACCCAAUUCUGGUUGACAAUGCCACUCGUUUCUAGCUUCCAAUAUUUGCCAUGAAAGGUCCAUAUCUAUUUGCUCGUGGUAGUUUCCACAUUCCUGACCAUACACCAUUAUUGUCGACAAACAGCCACAUUUUUUGAGUUGAUAAUUAGUUGUUUCUAUUAGGAAUUUUUCUUGCUCAAAGGGGAGCAAAGUACGAACAAUUGCCAGUUCACUAGUUUAGUAAUUUUGCAUUUUGACAAAUUAUAGUUGAUAAAUCGAGAAAUUUUGGCCUAAUAGUUAAAAUCGAAAUUUCAGAAAUUAGAGGUUGCGAUUACAAAUUCUCCUUUCUCCUCUUUGAUUCUUGAAAAAAAGUUAUAGUUCAUAGGGAAUACUUGUACUAAUUUGUAAUAGUAAAAUAAGGAUUUAAAUAUUGUUUAAAUGAAGUCUAGCAGUAGAUUUUGAAGUUUUUGAAGCUUGAGCCUAAUGUGGCCUUAAUGUUGGGUACGGUUGCUCGGACCUCAUUCAAAAGGCAUCAUGAUUUUACAUUGUAGUUUACCUGACUUCACAUAACGUAACCACUGAGCUUCCAACAGGGAGGGUCUUAACUCUUAAGUCUCUUUUUGAGUUAUAGAUGAGGGUUCAAAUUUCACCUAAAAAAAAAAAUUUUAAGGAUUGUGCCAAAACACUUUCUUGGUCUAGUAAGGUCUAUAUGCCUGCUAGCUCCAAACAUAGCCUCUUUAGACUCUCCUUCUCUCUAGUUUAGGAUAGAUAAAUUAUAUAAUAGUUGUCGUCUCAAAAAAAAAAGGACUUCGCAUAAUGAAAUAAUUUUGUUUGGAUAGGGUAUUAUUUUAAAUAUUAUUUGGAAUAAUUGCUAUAGCAUUUUUUGUGAUAUGAUGUAUGUGAGAUAAAAAGAUGAUUGAGAAUAUAAAAAGAUGAGUUAAAAAAUAUAUUUAUGAUGCAAGCGAAAUAUUAUUUAGAAUAAUUCCCCUAUCCAAACAAACAUAUUAUCAGUUGGAUCCCGCCACACCGAAACUUGGGACAGAAAUGGCUGUAAUGAUAUCAAUUGUACACUUUUGACAGGCUGUAACUUAGCACAAAUAACUUGUACUUAUUGACCAAAUCCGGAAAUUUGAAAGUUUGUCCCAGCCUCUAUUAACAUACUCCCUAGUAGCUGCAAUAUUGCAUCAAGAUUUGCAUCACAGGACAUGCUUGGGUUGCACCCUUUGACAGUUUGACCUCCUUCCCAAGGUCUACCACUAAUAAGUUGCAAUUCCAUGACCACUUAUAUUAACUUUUUUUUAUGGUUUCUAAAAUAGAAUAGACACUGAUUGAAAAAUAAAGAAAUAAUGACAUUAAUGCAUGGUGAAAACUUGACAAAUUCAUAUAUCGUGAGUCAUGUUUUGGCCAACACCAUAUGACGAAACUUUAUUUUAUGAUGGUGGGUGGUGACCUUUAACAAGAGAUAAUUUCAGUAACCUUCCUUGAUAUUUUUUAUAAUAUCACUUAGCAUCCUUUAGGUUUCAAAAUUUUACUUACCUCUCUUGGAUUGAUAAUUUUUAUAACAUUUUAACCGCUUUUGGAGGAAAUGCAAGAAAGAUAAAAUUUUUGUUCCAAUACCACCCUUAUGUUAUCAUACUUAUGAAGCUUACAACAAUAAUAAAAAAUAAAAUAAUGUUAACAAGUAAAAAGAUGAAAAUAUGAGCAAGUAUAAAUGCAGUAACGAGUAAUUUUAUAGAUAUAUAAUAACUAUUACUUAGUAUGAUGAAUGACUUUUUUUUUAAGAAAAAGAGAAUAUUCCUAGAUAUAUAUUUGGUCAUUAGAUUUUUUAAUUCUUACUUCUUUAUAUAUAUUUUUUAUAAGUAAGAUUUAUAUUACAAACCAUGGGCAUAAAGAGAUUAUUUUAAUUUUGGAUUAAUUACAUUUACCUCCCCUGAAGUAUAACCAAACUACCAAUCAAACCCUGAGGUUUGGUCAAAUAACAAAUAUACCCCUAUCACUAACUUCUGUUAAAUGUCUGUGACGGAAUGAGUAAAAUGAUUACAUACCCAAAAUAGUUGAAACUGCCUGUCUUACAAAACAUCGUGUACCUUCUUUUCUUUGUUAUUUUUUUUCCAAUUUUCUAGAACCCUCAAAGGUAACAACAAUGGCAACAGGAAUGUUUGGGCUGCUGUUGCUGCAUCCAUCAUCAGCCAUAUGCGCCUGCCACCGUCGCCAAUCGCCGACUCCAGCUUCUUCAUCUUUUUUUUGUGUGGGUUGCCAUUCUUGACACAAACUCAACCAAAAUUCACUGCAUAACUGUUCAAAUAGGCCUACAUGUGAGACUGCUCUGUCUCGCCUUUCCCAUCGGAAGCAAAGACCAAGUUCCACACUUUUGCAGUAAAUCACUUCUCAACGGGUAUAACAUGAACAAGUCAAAUGAACCAAAUUUGGCUACUUCCAUCUUUCAGAAAGCAAGUUCUAACCUCAAAAUUGAAAAACGAAAGAAAAAUAAAAUUUUAAAAAUUGCAAGUGAAGAUUAAUCACCAGCUAUUCCAUUACCUUCUUCAAAACCCAUUUCCUAUCGCUCACCAAAUUUAACACAAGCCUUUUUCCUAUCCCUUACCAAAUUUAAGACAAGCCUUUCAAAUGAUAUGAAGGACAAACUUCCAAAUCUCAAUUUACAAAAAACUGGAAAAAAAAAUUCCAAAUCUAGUAGCCAAGACAUUUUGAAGAUAAUAGUUUCACUUGUGUAUCUAAGCAAAUACCAAAUGAUUUCUCUAGACAUCGUCUACCAAUUCUGGUGCAAAUCCAGCACUAUAAUGUCCGUAUCUUCAUAUGUUCUUAAUGGCUUAACCAAAGAAGAAAUAAAAAAUUGGAUGGAAGAGGAAAAGGCAACGGCUUUGGUUUAGAAAGAUGGAUGAGGAGAAAAGAUGAAGGAAUUAGAAUAUGCGAUGGAAUUGACGGCAAAGAAGGGUUAAUGGUUGGAAGCAAUUUAACAUGCAAUUUUGGUGGAGAUGCAAACACCGAAGUUGCAGGCUUGAAAGGGAGUCUACCAC
Molecule: long non-coding RNA, 41211 nt
Filed under: Coffea arabica (coffee)
Lineage: Eukaryota; Viridiplantae; Streptophyta; Magnoliopsida; Gentianales; Rubiaceae
Description: long non-coding RNA (CARA_LNC000197)
Source: RNAcentral